GAUACAAACAAAUUAUGUGCCAAUACAAUACUCACUCAAUUAUUGAAUAACUCAACUUAUAGAGUUAUUAUCGUAAAUGUUGCCACUAUUUUACAUAAAAUUAGUUAAACACAAAAAAGUACUUAAAAUACCUUUAGAAAUGAUAUAUAUCUAUGGAUCUCUUUACAACUAAAAAGAGUAAAAGAUCGACACCCGUUUCGUGCGACAUUCGGCCGACGGGUUUUCGUCCUGCCUCCUCCUGCGACGCGCCUCCUCCUCCACGCAGACGCAGAGCGCCCGCCUCCCCCUCGCCCGCCUCCUCCUCCACGCACGCCUCCUCCUCGGCGCCCCCUCCUGCGACGCGCCUCCUCCUGCGGCCUCCUCCUCCACGCAGACGCAGAGCGCUCGCCUCCCCCUCGUCCGCCUCCUCCUCCACGCACGCCUCCUCCUCGGCGCCCCCUCGCCCGCCUCCUCCUCCACGCAGAGCGCCCGCCCUCGACGAAUCCUCCACGCAGAGCCCCCACGCAGAGCGCCCGCCUCCAUCCUCCUCGACGAAUCCUCCUCGGCGCUCCCUCCCAGAUCCUCCUCGACGAAUCCUCCUCGGCGCCCGCCUCCUCGACGAUCCUCGACGCCCCCUCCCAGAUCCUCCUCCACGCAGAGCCCCAUAUCAUCCUCCUCGGCGCCCCGCUCCCAAAUUCUCCUCGGCGCCCGCCUCCUCGACGAUUUCUCCUCGGCGCCCCGCUCCCAGAUCCUCCUCGACGAAUCCUCCACGCAGAGCCAACCGGUGAGCCACUACGGUGAAGCCCAUGGCCAAAUUCCAGACGCCUGCAAUAAUAGGUAGCAUGUCUAAUGUGUAUCUAGGUUAUCUACCUUUUCUAGAAUUGAGCAUUUUAAUUUUAACUCUGGUUACCAUUACCAUCAAGAAAGAGAGAUAAUCAGUAACAAAUUGUUUUUUAGGAAAAAACAAGAAAUUAAUUGAUAGAAAAUAAGUUACUUUUGGAAAUUUUGAUAGAAAAAAGCUAACUCAAUUUAUGAAAAAAGCUAAGUUCAUCUUGACUGAUGGGGAAUGAGAUGAUAAAAGUUAAGUGCUAGGCUAUUAAGUUAAGUAUGGUCUUGUUCUAACUCAACCUACCCUGGUACUUGCUUCCCUGAUUGUGCAAAUCAGUAGAUGGUUACUCAAAAAAAGAGAAGCUAUACUGUAGCUCAGUCUAAUGCAUUUCUUUUGAUUUAGUUAAUACCAAACUCAAUCUUUUCCUACUACUGCAAAGUUCUUUGUAUAGGCUUGAAUCUCAACAUAGUGUUGUAUGUAGGAACCCUUAACGUAUAAUGCUUUUGUUUUUGGAAAAAAAAUUCUAUUCUUUCUAAAAGGAAUGACCACCUUCAUGCGUUGCUACAGUAUUUUCAUUGCAGUCCAUUUUGCUGAUGGUCUUGUUUUCUGUAGUUCAAGAGGCUGAACCUGAAGAAAAAUUAUUGGAGGUGUGAAUCCUACAAAUUCAAUAUGAUGGAUCUUGGAUGUGUUGCUUUCUCAUGCAUGCAUUGGUGAAAUAAUAGCAGUAAUGUAUAUACAUUUAUUUUCCUUUUCUUUUUUGACUGAAUGGCUACUUGAAAUAUGUUAAUUCUAAAACAAGCAGUAUAGCUAUUAUGUGCUUCACAUUAUUGUAGUAUCUUUUCAGGCCUGACCAUACUACCAGAGAGCUGGAACGCCGCCACCAAGGUCCACUACCACGCCGCCAUCGAGGACCAAUGCCACAUCCGCUCAACCGUUCCUGAUACCAGGUUGGGCUGAAUAUAAUCUCACUUUUGUUUCUUUGUGAUUGUUGAUGGUAGAAGAUAAGAAGCACUCAAAUCAGUAGAGACCUAAACUUAUUUACUAAUUCAGUAGAGACAUAAGAUGUUACAUCCUGGUUAUGAUCGCUAUAGAAAUCUUUGUGUCUUUGUCGAGACAAUAUUGAUUCAUAGAUAUUUUAGUGUUUCACAGCUUAGACUAUAGUUACUAAUAAUUGGCCAAAACAAAUAGUCUGUCGAAAUACACUUGAAAACAUCAAAUGCCAUGAUCUCUUGGUAAUAAAGUGUUGUAGUUAAACAUUGUGUGCCCGUACCUUUCUACCUAUCAUGUUAUUCAAUUCUGAUGGAUCUUCUCACUGUGGUUGUUUUUUAGCAGACAACUACUAUAGGCAGUAGCAAUCAGUACAUUAAACCUGCAAUUUCUUAAUGUGGCAACUGAGUUUACACUUGCAUCUCUAGAAUGUAGUAGCUAAGCGAACAUAACGUGAUAGCCUUUGUGCUGUGGACGAUCGCUAUCCUGUACGGACUGUAUUUUUUCUCCUGAAUAAAAGGUACCCAAACCUAACUUUAGUUACGAGUGAAAGGAAAAGAGAAUGUCUGUGAAUUGGUAGCUUAGUGUUAUUAACCAAAACUCCAAUAACAUGAAUUAAAACUAUCUUUUUUUAGGUAACCAUGCUACUACUGCAAGCUAAUAGUUCUAAACAUGUGUUCCUUUAUUUAUCAGUUAUUUUCACUCGCCUAAGCUAUAUUGGUAGUUCAGUAUCAGCUAUAUUCAAUAUUUUUUAAGGAAUUUAGAUUAUUUUUGCUUCAGCGCAAUUCCCUGAAGAUUUAACAAUUUGAAGUCCUUCGAAUUCAUGCAUUCAGUGCUCUUCUUUGUCUCUUUCCACAUAUCCUGUACAAUAUAUAGCUUUACUGAUGUUAAGAGUUCAUAGGUUCAGGUUUGCAUUUAUCUAAACAUAGCUGAUCAGAUGAUGCUACCAUAUAUUUACUUAUGCACUCCUAUGUUGCAUGUGAGACUAUUGAUAUGAUUUUUUAAUAAUAAUAGAACACUUAAUUCCUUAAGUAUUUGUAGCUGAUCAACGACCUGUUCGUCCAGGAUAGAAGCAGUGGUGGUGCAGCAGCAAGGGGAUUUAAUUUAGUAAGAUGUGUUGCACACAUGUGCAUGUGGUGUAUGUGUUGUGGAUUGGCCAAAUAAAAGCUAUAGGUAUUGAAAGAAAAUAAGAGAAAAAAUUAUGGGGGGCCGAACAGACAAGGGUGCCGAAAUAGCCCCUUGAGAAAAUUAUAAUUGCCUUAAAAACUAAAAUUGUCGCCUUGCAUUUCAGAUUGGAAUUUUAGUUUUAAGUCAUUUAUAUGCUAUUCUUGCAUGUUUAGAAAAUUAAAUUAUUACUUAUAUAUUGACAGAAAAAUAUCAUAUAUCUUGAAUUCUGGAGAGCAAAAGCUACUCCCAAAAGCCAAAUCAAAGGUACCCUUAUUCUCAUGGGACUAUUUGCUAGAUGUAUUGAAUUCCCGCAAACUAAUUGCGUAUUUCCAUUUUGUACAGAUUGCAAUUUCAGUAAAGACACACAACACACAUGUACGAGUAAAGGUAAGCAAUUCAUGCAUACAACAUUGAUUUUCCAUUUAUCUUUUUUUUCAAUCUGAAAUGAACCUAUCUGACUACAGAGAAUACUAAAACUAUCUUUUAGGUGUCCACCUCCUAUGUUGACAGUGCCACCCUACUCCUCGGUGACUUCAGAUCUUGAUUGCCUGGCAGCGUCCUGGCCUGAUUGAGUGGCAAUGGUCACGUUGGCCUGCCGCUCUUAGGCCGAGGACAACAAGAAGAAAGGUGUGUCUGCCAACUGUUGUGGUGGUGUCCUGGGCUGAUUGAGUGUUGUCUGCUCCAGUCCAUUGACAUUGCCCCAAAAUCUAGCUAUGGAUGUGCAAAAUCAUCUCUCAUGUUCAGUGUUUCAGUACGACCUUGCAAUUUUUGUUGUUGUUUAUUUCAUAGCAGAUGGAGUUUAGAUUGGGUUCUUGUUAUUUUGUCUAUAGUUGUGUUUGAAUUUAGCCAAGCAAUUAAGAUCUGUACAUUCUUGACUAAGUUCCGAUAAUCUGAUGCAAGCUAAUAGAUUUUUGUUAGCAUGAUAGGUUCUUGGAAAAUCACACAAUGUGUAUUUUCUGAGCAAUAAUCAUGGCUAUUCUUACUAAGAUUUUGUACCUUUUGCCUUUCAAUAUUUUAGUCUAUCUAAUUGCAGUUUUAGAGCUGCACAUUGGAUUAGACAGAGGAGCAGAACAACAAUGAGGCAUCGGUGCGAGGGGACAACCAACAACCAGGAAGCUAGGGGUGCUUCCUCAGUCCUCACGCUGCCGAGUCGACUGCUGGUAAGUUCAUGUACCCUCCUGUCUUUGCCUUUUUCUCCCAUGGCCAUGGUGGAAUCUGCACUUUUAGCCAUGGCAAUGUGUUGCUUAUGCUGCUCUCGAAGUACUAGCAAAUAUUUUUCUUUUCAAAAUUGUGUUGAUGGAUUGUAUAUCUAUGGCAAUAAGAAAUAGCUAGAUUUUUUAACUAACACAUCCACCCAGCUGGUGUCCAGCAUUGUGAUGCUCCUGCAUCUUUGUGUCAUAGGCUCUAAUGAUGCAUUGGUGUCACGAAAAAUAGACCUAUUGCCUUCUGAUAUUUUGGUCCUAUUUAGAAUUUGUAGUAUGACCCGACUCCUAUGUUAAUAUAUGUUAGAUGUUUUAUGUUAUAAAUACAUACCUUGAUGAUUGUAAACCAUCAAUGAGAAUUUUGAUGCUUAUGCUGCUCUCGAAGUACUAGCAAAUAUUUUUCUUUUCAAAAUUGUGUUGAUGGAUUGUAUAUCUAUGGCAAUAAGAAAUAGCUAGAUUUUUUAACUAACACAUCCACCCAGCUGGUGUCCAGCAUUGUGAUGCUCCUGCAUCUUUGUGUCAUAGGCUCUAAUGAUGCAUUGGUGUCACGAAAAAUAGACCUAUUGCCUUCUGAUAUUUUGGUCCUAUUUAGAAUUUGUAGUAUGACCCGACUCCUAUGUUAAUAUAUGUUAGAUGUUUUAUGUUAUAAAUACAUACCUUGAUGAUUGUAAACCAUCAAUGAGAAUUUUUCAAGCCUUUUCCUGUGCUUAAUAUCUCAUGAAGUUUUUUCUUUCCUUGUAGGAUGGUUCAAUUUCAGAUGUCAUUGGCCUUAGAGCCCACUUAAAACAAGUCUGAUGAUGCCCUCUCAAACUUACAAACUAGACUUACUUGACCAUGUACGUUUAUGACUGUGCAUCUUAGAUUGCCUCAUAUAUUGUAUUAAUUCGAAGGUGAACUGAAUGACAUAUCUCUAAACAACCUUACGUGUUGAUGGUAGAUUUUUAAUCAUUGGUUUCUAAGGUGGUGCUUAGUAAAGUGAAGUAUAAGUUGUACUUGCAAGACAUUUGACCAUACAAAGUAUUUCAGUUACCCAUGACACUGCUUAAUCGAAGCUAUAAUGCAUAUAAGAUAUUUCUUUCACAGUAUUUUUUUUAAAACUUUCUUUCACAAUAUUGUUAUUUUAUCGUGCGACCCGUGUGUUUUUAGUAUAAAAUGUUAGUUAUCCCGUAGCAACGUACGGACACGCUACCUAGUACAUAUAUUAAGUACACAAUUUGUUCGCAUAAUACAGACCAACUGUCUUUGCAAUAAACAUGGGAGCGAGAGACUUAUAAUUUUUCAUGCACGUGCGGUGGUAUAUGCGGUGCGGCACACUUGAGCUUUGUGAGUUUCAUUGCGUCGAAAUCACCACGAAUUUUGGAGACUUGCAGAGCAGACUAUGCGCUAUGUUAUUCCUCGCAGAAAAGAAGAAGACUAUCCUAUGUUAGCCCCCCCUUUUUUUUUUUACGAAAACUAUGUUAGCCUUAAUUAAAUAGAUUGGAGUAUGCAUGGAAAUGCUUCUUUUGAGGAUUACUAGACUUUUACUAAAAUGGAUGGUGUUGUGCCCUACCAACAAGAAGGAUUUACUGAUGGAGUAGUAUAUCCACAAGAUCAAAUAUGCAGGCGGCAGGCAAGACCCUCUGGCUCCCUUUUGUGAACCGGCCUGAAGUUUCACAGAAGUGAGGUUGACGAGUCGAUUUGGAUGCCCAUGUAUCAUGAAGACCAAACUUUUUCUUGGCUAGAUGCAUCGUCCUGGUGGACACCUUUUGGCUUGUUAAACUGAUGUGCCAUAAGGAUUUAUGGUCUUUCGAUAUUGUGCCUUGUUUAGUGGUAUUUUUUUUUUACAAAAUAAACACUAUAGUAUUUUUGUUUAUAUUUAAACAAUAUUUUUUAAUCAUGGACUAACUAAGUCUAAAAGAUCCGUCUUAUAAAUUAUAGGUAAAUUUUAUUAUCUAUGUUUAAUGUUCAAUGCAUAUGUCGUAAGAUUUAAUAUGACGGAAAAUCUUAAAAAAUUUUGCAAAUUAUUUCUUGAGAAGUAAACAAGGCUUUAUUUGAAAGGUUGUUAGGGCGAAAUGCCCUUAAACUCUAAAUAGAUUGGAGUAAAAGAAAAAACGGGGUUAGAACGAGCACAACACUGCUAUACGAGACUAGGGCCUUGUUUAGUUCCGAAAAGUAAAAAAUUUUCGAUACUGUAGCACUUUCGUUUGUUUGUGACAAAUAUUAUCGAAUUAUGAAUUAACUAGGAUCAAAAGAUUCGUCUCGUGAUUUACAGCUAAACUGUGUAAUUAGUUUUUGUUUUCGUCUAUAUUUAAUGUUUCAUGCAUGUGCCACAAGAUUCGAUGUGACGAGGAAUCUUGAAAACUUUUUGAUUUUUAGAGUGAACUAAACAAGGUCUAGCUAGAAAAAUACUAAGAGAUCACCACUACGUACAUAGUAGGCCAGUCGUCCAUCGUGAAUGUACGGUGGUUGACAGUUUCGAUAGCUCAAGCGAACAGAGUCGUUACGUAUUCCAUCAGGCUGUGCUAGCGUCGACCGACAUGGGACUCUGUGGUGUGGGUCGCCGUUUCAUCCUGCUUCCUUUGCUCCCAACCAACUUCGUUGACCACCGGUUGGUUUGUUGAUGAUAUUCGCACGCGGCGUGGCGUCGGCAACGGGACACGUACCAUUGCGGUCACAAUGUUGACCACACGACGACAUGACUGUCUACUUUCGUGUUCCUGUUCAGGCCUCGUUUAGUUGUGAAAAUUUUUCGGAUUUUGACAAUAUACUACUUUCGUUUGUUUGUGGUAAAUAUUGUCUAAUCAUAGAGUAAUUUAGAUCAAAAGAUUCGUCUCGUGAUUUAUAGGCAAAUUGUUUAAUUAGUUUUUAUUUUCGUCUAUAUUUAAUGCUCCAUACAUGCGCCGCAAGAUUCGAUAUGACGAGGAAUCUUAAAAUGUUUUUGGUUUUUUUGGUAAACUAAACAAGGCUAAGGGUCACUCCGGCAGCUAAAAUUUGUCAGCCACAGACAAAAGCCUGUUGUAUAGUUGCUCGCCUCGUGACGCAGCCACCACAGUUUCUACAAUAUGCACCGUUCCGGGGCUGGUGUGGCGGCUAAAAUGCUCACCACACAAUGUGGCGCGUGCGGGCUCCGCUCUUGUGGCAGGGUACGGCUAGCGUUCAAACAUUUCCUUGUUAAAUUUAUCAUAAAAACCAAACAAAAUUUAAGAUUCUUUGUUAAAUCGAAUCUUGCGAUACAUGUAUAAAAUAUUAAAUAUAGAUAAAAAUAAAAACUAAUUGCAUAGUUUGUUUGUAAAUCACGAGAUAAAUUUUUUGAGCCUAGUUAAUUCAUAAUUGGAUAAUAAUUACUAAAUAAAAACAAAAGUGCUAUAUAAUGCUCCAAAACCCGAAUUUUUUGAACUAAACAAGGCCUACGGAAAUCGCCACCGGAAUGUGCCUUGUGCAACACGGCACGUACGUAUCACGUAGUAUGCCUACACACCGAGAAUCGUACGUACUACUGUAGUAGACUCUGCAACAACGGUCCAAGAAAAUUGGACGUACUACACUGCGCACAUGCACGACACGUGCUAUCGGAAAGCGUACGAGUCCAAAACCGAUAAUACAUAAGGGCCCGAGUGUAAAUUCAGCUGGGAGCUACCGACGGCUGCACGGCAAGGAUGUGCAGUUGUGUGUUGUGUAAUGGCAACAGCCACCCAACACCAAACCAUAUUUAAUCUACUGCUGUCGUUACUAUUUGCAUCAUCCCGCGUCACACGCCUGUGUCCACAUCCUGCUCCAUGAAAAAUUUAUUUGAAUUUAGGUCUUGUUUAGAUCUUAAAAGUUUUUUGAAUUUUCACACUAUAGCACUUUUGUUUUUAUUUGACAAACAUUAUUCAAUCAUAAAGCAGUAACUAGGCUUAAACGAUUCGUCUCGCGAUUUACAGAUAAAUUGUGUAAUUAGUUUUUAUUUUUCAUCUAUAUUUAAUGUUUCAUGCAUAUGCUGUGAGAUUUGAUGUGAAGAGAAAUCUUAAAAAGUUUUUGGUUUUUAGAUGAAUAACAAGCCCUUAAACCUCACAGUGAUAUACAGCCACAUGCCCACAUCUGUCACUGUCACCACUGAUGACCUGUUUGGAACAAAGAAUUUUCGGAGGAAUUUUGGAGUCCCUAGUUCCUUUGGAAACGAUCAGGUGAAUGAAUCACAAAUGCACGGGGAAAACUGCAAACGAACCUUGAUUUGUCUGCCACUAGUCGUCGAUCGUGCAUUUGAAUGUUGAAACACGCGAAAUGUUUUCCCGUGUUGCCUUGCCUUGAUGAGGCAUUGUUUAGGCCUUGUUUAGUUCCAAAAUAUUUUGCAAAAUGGACACUGUAGCUUUUUCGUUUGUAUUUGACAAAUAUUGUCCAAUCAUGGACUAACUAGGCUCAAAAGAUUUGUCUCGUCAAUUCCGACCAAACUGUGCAAUUAGUUUUUAUUUUUAUCUAUAUUUAGUACUUCAUGCAUGUGUCUAAAGAUUCGAUGUGACGGGGAAUCUGAAAAAUUUUGCAAAUUUUUUUGAGAACUAAACAAGGCCUAGUUCGAAAAAAAUUUCAAGAUUCUCCGUCACAUCAAAUCUUUGAUCGUAUGCAUUGAGCAUUAAAUAUAGACGAAAAUAAAAACUAAUUGCACAGUUUACCUGUAAUUUGUGAGAUGAAUCUUUUGAGCCUAGUUACUCCAUAAUUGGACAAUGUUUGUUAAAUAAAAACCGAAAGUGCUACAGUAGCCAAAAACUGAAAUUUUUGCAAACUAAACAAGGCCGAAGCUUCCACUGCAAGAAGUGACCUACCCUUACCCUUCAUUCCAAUUGUACCAUACAUUCAAAGUUCCACACAUGCCAAUUGGAAAAAGACAUACAAUCUCUCCUAGUAUGUCCCAAACAAAAAAGAAAAUGCAUUACGUUGGCCCUAAUACAAGUUAGUAUAUUUUUACAUGAAAGUGACAUCCUUGUUUAGUAGGUAAAUUUUUUUGGAUUUUGAUACUGCCACUUUCGGUUGUAUUUGAUAAUUAUUGUCCAACUAUUGACUAACUAGGUUCAAAAAAUCGUCUCGCAAAUUACAGACAAACUGUACAAUUAGUUAUUUUUUAUCUAUAUUUAAUAUUUUAUGUACGGGUUCAAAGACUCGAUGUGACAGAGAAUUUUGAAAAAAUUUUGGAACUAAACAAGGCAAAAAAAAAAGAAAUUGGUUGGCACGGUCAAUAUUGAUAAUGACAUCUCACCUCUCUUGCUUUGCGAACCCACACGUUUGUACACCCCCGAGAUAGAUAAACAAUGCAAAAGAACUCGUGCGUAACAAAACAAUGACCCCACUGUCAGUUGGAGUCGGAAGCAAGAUAUUUCAUGAAAGGUCCUUCACAACCCUUGCUUUAUUUUAAUCUAUCUACUACUCCAGUAAUAGCUCACUAGUCACUACCACCCACACACACAGAUACAUACAUACAGAGCCACAUCAUGCAUAGUAUAGGUCCAGCAGUGUCACAAUCUCCAUCAAAAUCAAUUCUUUUUCAGAGACAAAUUUCCAUAUUACACUAACCACUGCCACUUUUCAUAGGUCACCCUUGUACCACAUCACCACACUAGUUACAGGCCGAGCUGAGUAGUGCAACCACACACCGUCCUUGCUCUCACACGGUUGAGCCAUUGAGCUGCGUCAAGGCGAACCCAUGGCGACGCCGCCGGAGGAACCGCUGCCGCUGCCGCUGCCGCUGCCAAAGCCGCCAGAGCCAAAGCCGCCGAAGCCCAAGCCGAAGGGGCCGGACGAUCCCGAGCCAGAGCCGCCGAAGCCCAAGCCAGUAGGGCCGUUGCCUCAGCGGGACGGGGUCGGGGACCCCGGCAGCGGCGUCGUCGCCACGUCCCCGCCGGCGGACCUCCUCUGCGCCGACACCUGCUCCGGCGCAUGCGCGUACUUACCGCACUGCCAGCCGCCGCCUCCCGCAUCGUCGUCGCGCGGGACCACCUUGCACCUCCGCUCGAGCCGGCUGCCGACACCGCUCAUCGCGCUCUCGGCGUCGCUCCUCGCCGUCUCCGCGGUCCUCCUGCUCGCGCUGCUCGUCCACCGCCUCGUGGCUCGGCGGAGGCGGGCGCGGAACGCGGCGCUGGUGGCUCACCACGGUCACGGCGAGGAGGGUGGUGGCCACCAGGUGCUGGCUGGCGCGGUGGCGGGCGGCGGCGGCGAGGAGGAGGACGAGGAGGAGGCCGACGGCGGCGGCGGCGGCGUGCACCACGUGUGGUAUAUACGGACCAAGGGCCUCGACGAGCGCGCUAUAGCGGCCAUCGCCGCGGUGGUGUACGACGCCAAGCAGCGCGGCGCCCUCGGCCUCGGCGGCCACGGAGGGACCGACGGCGACGGCGACGGCGGCAGCUGCGCGGUGUGCCUCGCGGAGUUCCGGGACGGCGAGACGCUGCGCCUGCUGCCGCGGUGCGGCCACGCGUUCCACCGCGGGUGCAUCGACACCUGGCUCCGCGCCCACGUCAACUGCCCGCUCUGCCGCGCGCCCGUCCAGGUCUCCCUCGCCGCCGCUGCCGACAAUCCUAACGCCGCGCCGGGCGCGCCCACGGCCACGUCGGGGGGCCGACAGCGGCAGGAGAGGAAUCUUGUUGGCGCCGCCGUCGGUGCCGUUCAGGCGACAGAGGAGACCGCGCGCGGCGGCGUGCCAGACCGCGCCGUCAGGCGGGCCGCGUCCAUGGUGGCGCUGCCGCGGCGGGCGUGGCCGGACGUCUCGCUGCGGGCGCCGGCGUCGAGCAGCGGCCGCGAGGAGGACAUGACGGGGCUCGGCAAGAUCAGCCGGCUUCUCAAGUUCUCGGACGCGCUGGAGAUGGCCGGAAUCGGGGUCGAGCGGUCGGUCUCGUUUGGCGCCGGGAGCUGCCAGCGCUUGCCGACAAGGUCGGGGCCCUCGGCCGCCGCCGCCGGCGUCAGCGCUGACGAGACGUCACAGUGAACUCGUUGAUGCCGAGUUGCCGACGAUGAGGCGAUUGGGUAAAAAUUGCAGCUUUGGGAGUUGGGAGCUUGGAGGGGUGAAGGUUGGUGUUUGGUUUUUUGCGAAAGUUUUGUGUGCCACAUGAUGGGAAGAUAAAAGUGUCAUCUUUCCAAGUUUCGUGUAUAAUCAAUCACAAGUAACUCGUGAGUUUGUGCAUAUACUUGGGAGCGUCAGAAAUUGUAAAUAAGAAUUCCUGACAAACAAGUUUAAGUUUUGUAUGCGAAAUCACAGUACGCAUACAUGUGUAAGAUAUAACAUAUCACUUCUGUUCGUUCAGUACUUGUUCGUUUGGCUGAUAAGACUGAUUUGUUGUGAGAAAAGAAUACUGUUGAAUGACUGAUUAAUUCGGCUGAUAAGUUCAAGCGAACAAUGAGACAUUUGUUGCUAAAAUUUGGCCGCCUGAUCUCUAGUUUCUCUGUAUCCAUCAUGACCCACAAUGACCUUUAUUUAAAGUCUUGUAUGUCUAUGAUCUUUAAGCUGCUGCUGCCUGCAGGAAUAAGGACCAAACAUCAGUCUCAAAUUCUCAAUAUAGUUGAGAUUCAGGUGAAGAGUCUUCACACACAAUUGGCCACAUAAACUUUGAAGGAGUGAAUAACUUGUGGAUCAUGCCAAUUGCCAGCUAAGGAAUUUGUUCUGUUCCCAUCCCAAUCCAGAAUGAAUGGAUGCUUGCUAUCCCAAAUCCCAACCCCAUUCACCAAAAGUAAAACCCGAGCAUUGCCUUGCACCUGAAGGCCUUGUUAAAUUUGCCUGCCGAGGUCAGGAUUCUGGACAAGCCAUCUCACCUGCCCUUGCUUGCCAUGUCUCUGUCAGGGCACUAACACCUCAUUAAAAACGAUGCUUCUGUUUGAAACGCUAAUGGUGUGAGGUUAAAGUAGGCAGGGUUGGCAGUUCUGCCCGGUCGCCUCUCAAGGCAGUGUGACAUCAAUUGUUUGGACCGGGCGGUUGUUGCAGGUCGUUGUUGGUCAUCAAAUGCGAUGUGGAUACUGCAGUGUGCCUCUGCUGCUGUCUGUGUGUGAAGCUUCCAGGAUAGAGUAAUCACCUUGAACUUUUUGGCGUCGGGGGUGCAGAAAUGACAUUCUCUUUUUUUUUGGUAUACCUCUGACGAUUCUUGUAGGGCCUUGUUUAGUUCCGAAAAGAUUUCGGUACUGUAGUAUUUUCGUUUUUAUUUGACAAAUAUUAUUCAAUUAUAGACUAACUAGGCUCAAAAGAUUCAUCUCGUGAUUUAAAAGCAAACUGUGUAAUUAAUUUUUGUUUUCAUCUAUAUUUAAUGCUUCAUGCAUGUACCGCAAAAUUCGAUGUGAUGAAAAAUCUUGAAAACUUUUUAAAUUUCGGUGGAAACUAAACUGGCCUAGGUUCAUAUCAGGAUAAGGUCAUGCACACCGGCACACCGCACAUCUUGACCCUUUUGAGAUGUCCGUUCUUGAAGCAACCUUUUGGUCUCACUGCUUCAGAUCAUUCAAAUGUAUCGUCUGUCUGAGCGUAGGGGUAGCGAACAAAGGUGACACCUUUGAGUUCAGCAAACAUAUCAUCGUAGAACAAGAAAGCGACACAAACCGAGCAUAGUGUCACAACUCACAACACAAAAGAUAUCUGCAUUUUUCAAAUAUUUUUUGUACAGAUUUAAUACACAUACAUAUUGAAUUGUUUUCGCAUACAAAAUAAAUUGUUUCUGAACUCUCUAUAUUGGACUCUUGAGACAAUCUCCUUGCAAUUCAUAAGUGCAGCAUGAAGAAACAUUGUUACAGAUGACUAUCACUUGCGGCCAUCAACUUACAAAACUUUGACAACAUACCCUUUUUACUACAGACAUGACAGGGCUCAAUGCCUUUUGCUGUAUAGUUGUCCUUGAGAAAAUAAUGAAGUCGACCUAGAAGUCCAAAAAUUUUUCAAUCUCUGAAGCAAAAUUGCAGUAGAGUUGAUCAGUCAGGGCUGAACAUAAAUCUAUCUCAACGCGGCAACAUUGCCAAGAUGUCUUCUUUGUGCUGCAUACAGUAGUACACCAAAAUUGCAAGAAUAAUAACUAGUAGCAUGGGCCAUAUGCUUGUUCCUGUCAUGACACAACCAUCCAUUUUUAGUAUAGGGCUUGCGGUUAGUGGCUGGAAAAAACAAAUCUAUGAAUUAAAGAUGCAACAUACCAUUACUCUUCGGGGACCCAACAGAUGUCACCCUUGCAGAAGAGUCAAAGGAAGUUGACAGCAAUGUUCUGAAAUGAUAUAAAGCAACUACAUUGAGAAAUUGCAUUUUUUUUUCUUUAGAUUCGUCAACUCGAAGUUCAAGAUAAUAACCUUGAAUCCUGGGAGAAGGCCAGUGUAGUAACAAUACCAAGAUGAGCCUUUUUAACUGUUACAAGUGUCCGCAUGUCUUUUGAGCUCAGUAUGAUGAUGCUUCCUUCAAUUGUUCCACUAGAAACCGAAGGCAGACAAAUAAAAUUUUCAAGAAAAUAAGCAAUGGUAUCUCUACAAGAUUAUUAAGAAAUAAGACCAAGGGGAUCUUUCCAAUCUCACAUUCCAAGAAGAGCGCCGUUGGGUGACACAGCAAAAGCUGAAAUGGCCUCACGAGUUAUUUUCUUUGAACCGAUUCUCGUCCAUGAGGUAGUAUUCCAAGAUACUAUUUUUCCAUAAUCACCUAAAAAGCAAUAUUAUUCAGGUAUUGUCAGACCUUAAGCUUGCUGUCUAGUUCAAUUUGUAACUAGGUCAAGUACUCAAGUUCAUCUUAAUGCCAACCUUGCAUCACUGUUAUAAAUAGGACAUGACUGUUGUCAGUCUUAUUACAGAAUCUGCAGAAUCCAAAUAUUUCCCCCUGAAAAUGUACAGAUCAAAACUCUCUUGAAACAAGACAAAAUCAUUAAAAUAAUGCAUUUCGUCCAAGAAAGGAACUCACUGCUUCUCUUGACAGACUGGCUACAACUUCAGAUGACUGCAGAUCCCAAACUCUACAUGGCCCGCUGCUCCUAUUCACAGCAAGAAACUUCUCAUCGGAACUGAAAGCAUGGACCAAAGCAGAGGAACCCAUCAGUAUCGUGCAAACAAUAUUCAAGUGGGAAGAGUUUAGUGAUCAUUUAUUUACCUGAUGGUAAGAUCCUUAAUCGAUGUUUUAGUAUCAGUUUCUGUGAGAACAGACCCCAUAGCAGGCCACUUGAAGACUCUUAAAUGCCCAUCCUACAAAAGGAAAGAAAGAAAUGAACAUGUCAAUAACCAUAAGAUUUCAGUGCCAUAACAGAAAGACCAAGAGAACCAGGAAAAUCACAUAUGAACCAUGACAAAACCUCAAAGCACAAAUGCAAGACCAUACUGAAAAGUUAUCUACUUAAAUGGAGGCAAACCAGAUUUGUCUUUUUAUUAUAAUGUAAAGCAAGAAUAAAUAUAAGUGCUCAAAGACUGUUCUGCCAGAAGGAAAUGACUAUUAAGAAGUCAACAAUGGAUAAAACCUAUUGAAACUGAUAAGCACAUCUUUGGUUUUAACGGUAAAUUAAGGUGAUGGCACAAACAUGUAUAAAACAAGAACAUAUCAUAAAAAGUGCAUCUCAAGAACUACUUAAUGUGGAUAGCUGGUCCUAGAUCCCUAUGUCCUUGGUUGUCUGAGGCGGCUGGUCGUGUUUCCCCAGUAUAUUUUCUAGAGUGUUGUUUUUUCUAAACCCCGUGGGGAUGCCUGGGAGGGGGUUUCUUACUUCCCUCCCUUGUGUCAUUUUAUUCUUCUUAAUGAAAUGGCAUGCAGCUCUCGCACGUAAUUCAAGGGGGAAAAAGAACUACUUAAUGUUGUUUGAUAUCUCCAUAUGUAAAGACAUAAAGUAAAAAAUAAUUUCAUUCAAAACUACACUGGCUGUACUUUCUAGCCAAAGAUUUCUGUACCAUGUCGACCAUGAAACAAGAAUCCCUUUGCCCAACAUAAACAAUAUACACCAACCUUAGGUACUCAGUAUCAGAAUCCCCCAUACAUAAUAUUGUAGCAAAUGAUUAUUAAGUUGACAAAAUGAGCAAAUUGUUUGGCUACAUUAGUCGGUACUAACAAAUGUUGCUUAUGAUGACCAUAGUCUAUACAAUUUUUCUGCAUGAAGCAAUGAAAGAUAAUAUUUUUAGUACACCUAGAAAUUACUAAGCUAACAUAUCUUUCUAAGGCAUUUUUUUCCAUUUAUGAUGUCAGACUCAGAAGAACAAAUAAAGUUGAAAGUUACUUAAAUGCAUUCCAAACUAGGUACUCGAAGUGCCUAUAGUUUUCCCUAUGGAAAAUGUCAAAUAGGAAAGGAAAUAAAAAGAAGGUAAAUACUAAACCUACCGAGAGUUACAAAAAGUAAAAUGCAAUGGAAAAGUACGCCAUAUGUUAACUUACCUCACCACCAAUGGCAAGUAUUGAACCUUCUCCACUGAAGGAUACGGCCAACUGCAAACCAACAUCUUUCAGCUCCGCUAAAGCUUCCUGGUCUGGCUCCAAGGCCAGGUUCUGUGGUCCCUCUCCUUCCUGUGAUUCCCAUCGGUACAACCUACAUGAGUGUUUUCGUAGUUAAAAAUUAUGAAAAAAAACAAACUUUUCAGCCAAGUUCAAUUAUUUAUUGUUCACAGGAAUACAAAACAAUGCAGCAUUAUCUUGUUGUAGAAUAUAAGAUGAUGGCAAAGCAUAUAAGGUACAUUUUGUAGCUGAUACUUUCUGAACCAGAAACACAUCUAUACUAACAAGUAACAACUAAGAAAUCUCAAAGUAUACUUCAUGUUAGACCACAAAAACCAGAUUGUAAGGGAUUUAAUUACUCCUACUAAGGAAACAGAAAAUAAUCAAGCACGCCCAAAAUACCACCUUUUACUAGCAAGUAUCAACAGUAGAUAAGCUAUCUUCUUGAAUAUCAUGGCUUCGGCUACUAUAUACAAGACAAUUCACAAAUACCUUCGCUUCAGGUCAUGUCACUUGUUACUAGCAAGAUUCCACAUUAGAUGUUAUCUUCGCAGAUGGAGUAGUUUAUAUUGAAUACCACCCAUUAUCUAGACUAGACAAUGAAUGGAGGCGACAAAUGACAUUCGGAUCAUUUGUGCAUAUCAGAAUACAGAACCAACCAAUACAUUAGCACGCAGCGCAGGGUACAAACCCAAAGGAUAUGAUCCGAGGGGGUGAGGGUGCAUACCUGCAGCCGUUGGGGAAAGCGCAGAACACGCCAUCGCCGCGCGGGUGUACAGCCAUUCUGUACGGCACCUCCUCUUGGGUCUUCACCUCAAGCACCUGCCCACCACCACGGAAUGCCGAAAUCAGCACGAGACACUGAGCCCCACCCUAGAUCGGAGCGGGAUCUGGGAGGACGGAUCGCUCACCGUCUCGGGGGAAAGGGCGGCCGGCGCGGCGGCCUCUUCCCCGGCGGCGAGGGCCGCCACCACGAGCUUGUUCGGCACCCCGCUCCGGCCCUCCCCGCCGCCGCCCCCGAGGACAGCCAUAGGGGGCGGGGGAGAGGAGGGGGAGGAGGAGGCAGCAUCCGCGUCCGCGUCCGCGUCCGCCUCGGCGGCGGGAGGGUCGGGCUUGAGGAUGUGGGCGAGCGGGAGCCAGGCGGCGCAGUAGAUCGGGAAGCCGUAGGACUGGCUACCGCCGCCGCCGCGAGUCGCCAUCGCGCGGAGAAAGGUGGGGGUGAGGAGCGCCCGGGUGCCGGAGGGGAGGUGGGCCGGUGGCGGUCGCAGUCGCGGUGGCCGCCGGUGGGGACGCGCGGCGGACGGUGGAGGGGAGAGCGUGGCUGGUGACGGGAAUAUUAACGCGGCUGUGUAAAGUUCCGUUUGGGUGGGUUGACCACUUGACCUCGAGAAGAGAUGGGUUUUCUUCGCUUCAAAGUUGGGCCGUAUAAUCGAGGAUCUUUUGGUCAAAACUAUAAAAAAAAAUGUAAGAAGGGACGGUAUGAUUCGUAUAAUCGAGUUUUGUUGUAAUAAAAAAAAAUUAUAAUGUACUAGGAUCAUCAACCUGUCAUGUAUACUGGUGAGGUGUACAGAUUCUCUAUAAAUCACCUAUUUUAUUAUUAAGUAGUGCACCACACAUUCAUGUUACUUCAUCAAUGUUUAAUCUCUCUCUCAUUUAUUUUUUCAUAAAAUAUAACUUUUUUUCUUAUGCUACGGCAAGAAGCAUAAAUUGUUGAAAUUUGACUGCACAAAGAUGAGAGAUUUUACAAGUUGACACAUUUUAGCCUUGUCUUGCCUACCACUUCUGCACCCUGUAGGUGCUCUUGCACCAUUGCCACUCUUGCUCCCACACACCUCCACAAAAUGGGGACCGCCAUAGCCACCGCUCCCAUUGCCAUCCUAAGUCCAGGGGCGCAAGUGAUAUUGAUUGACUAAUCCCAGCUUAUCCUCAUAAAUGUCUAUAGUUGAUGGUUGCCGCAUUGUGUCUAUGGUGAUCGGUGAAGACAUCUUUCUUUUGUCGUGGAGAUGUUCACCUCGUUUUUACCUAUUUGCAUGGUCGGGCUCCUAGUCACGUUGUUGGUCCUCGUCUGUUGUCUAUUAUGUUGGGCAUUUCCUCUUUUCUUGACCUCUACCUCCACCGUUAUCAUAGAGUCCCUCCUCAUCCUUUGUAGGGACACUAGGACAUGGACCAUAUGUUUAUCAUUAGGCUUAUAAUAGAUGUAUUUGUAUGGUAAAUGUAUGAGUACAUCUUUUUUUUUUUAGGAAACUGAAAGGGCCAAGGCUUCUACGUAUGAGACCUCUAUCUAAAUUAAUGUGUGGAGAAUUUUUCAAACUCGUUUUUAUUCGCAAAAUGCACUUGUGCCACUCUGUUUGCUUGAGCUUAUCUGCUGAAUCUGCCAGCCAUUCAGCAGUAUUUUUCUCUUAUAAUAAAUCAGCGAACAACACUUUCAGUAAUGACUUUUCAAACAAACGAACAAGCUUGAACCAAGUGGCAUGAUCGUGGGCAGCGCGUGCGCUCGGUAAACAGUUUUUUUUUCAUUCUCACUAGUACUUUGAGCCUUCAUGAUAUGCCAAUGCUUUUGACGGCAUUAAAAAAGGGUAUAUGGAUUUAUUACAAUGUACAUACAUAUUUACUAGUAAUAAAUACUUAUAAACGUAAGAAAGUGCAUGUGUACAUGAUUUGUGCGUGAAAAAGUUCUUGCUUUGAAAAUUUAUUUUGCACGACAAUAGUUUGACGUUAAUUUCAUCCAACUAGUCAGAUCGGACGGUUGACAUUCACUGUUGCAAUCGCAAAAGUCCAUACGGCCCGGCCGCCCCCAAACAAAACCUCACCCUUCUCUUAUCCGCCGCAACGGCCGCCCGCCGGCCACCACCUCCACACCCCCCCUCACCGGCGAGAUGCUGACCUGCGGCCGCUUCAUCUCCUCCUCCGCUGCUACCAGCACCGCAUCCUUCUCGCCGUUUCGGACUCUCACCCGCUCCCUCCUUCGCCGCCCCGCUCCCCGCCUCCUCUCCUCUGCCUCCGCCGCCGCCGCCGCCGCCACCGCCGUCGAACCCGACACCAAAGGUAAUAGAUUUAACCUUCACUCUUCAUCUCAACGACGUACAGUUAUCUAAGCUUCCGUUUUUCCUUUCAGGCGGCGGUGGCGCGGGAGGUGCUGCUGCUGCGGUGAGGCCGCAGUGGAAGGCGGCGAUUGAUUUCAAAUGGAUCCGGGAUAACAGGGACGCCGUGGCCGACAAUAUCCGGAGCCGGAACUCCACCGCCAAUCUGGACCUCGUCCUCGAGCUCUACGACCAAUACCUCGCACUGCAGAAGGUCUGGGGCUUGCCAAUGCCGGAGCUUUUUGUUGAAGCUGUUUUUGCUGUCUGACUGUGCUGCGCUAGAUUCGUUGAUGAUAAGCUUGCGCUGUAUAGGGUCAGGUUCUAGUGCGUGGAUUUUGACUUGUGCGGCCCAGGGGUAUGUACUAGAUGGUUGCUCUUUGCUAGGAUUUUCCUCUGAGCUUAUAUUUGAACUGUAGUUUUAGAUGUCCUAUAAUAUGACUGAUGAACUGGCACGGUUUUAUUUCAUUAAGUAUCUAGUUGGCGUGGCUGUUGCGUCUCCUGUAUUUGUCUUGGCAACAGAAGUUUGAAACAGAACUCAAAAGGCUGAACAUGGAUCAGGAAUUCAGGAUAGGAUAUUUGUAAUAUGAUUCAGGUUCUUUUGUCCAUUGAAUUUCCAUUCAAUCAUACAACACCUGAGUUGCAUGCAGAUCCAAUGUUCACAAAAAAUGACUUACAGUACAUUUGAAGAAAUCAAUUGCCCAUGAAAGUCAAAUCUACGAAUUCAUACAGACCCUGUACUUUUUAUGGAGCUCUCUUUCAGAUAUACCUUGUUCUGCAUUACAUUCGGCAACUAUUGAAUUGCAGUGAACGUGUAUAUAUUCUUUCAAUCUUUAGUUGGUUUUGGUUGGCCUUUAACUGUUUUCAGACUGUGCUCUUAGCAAUUUAUCAUUCAUGAUAACAAAGCUAAGUUGCAAAUUUUUUAUGAUCCUUAUGAUUCUUGUUCAUGUGGUGCACACCUGCCCCUUUAAAUGGUUCAUUCUAAACUGCUUAAGACAUGUGCGAUAGUUAGAUACAGUAGCUGUCUAUAUAUGCACUUGAUGAACACAAUUUAUUCAGUUCCAGAAUGUAAUAUGGUGGUAACAGAACGAUGGCAACAAUUCCUAAUUAUGACAGAUGGCAGGAGGUUGAACGGCUCCGAGCUGAAAGAAAUGCAGUUGCUAACAAGAUGAAAGGGAAACUAGACCCAUCUGUACGCCAAGCCCUUGUCGAAGAAGGUAGAAUGAGUAGUUUAUUCAAGCAUGGAGAUAAGGAUUUACCACUAUAUUUGUUUUAACCAUUUUGAGUUACUACAGGUAAGAACCUGAAAGAGGGGCUUAUAGCACUUGAGGAGGAUCUUGUUCAGCUGACAGAUAAGCUUCAACUUGAAGCUCAAAGUAUUCCUAACACUACCCAUCCCGAUGUUCCUGUUGGGGGUGAGGAAAGCUCUGUCCUCAGGAAAGAGGUAAGUGUUGUUUUAUACUUCCUGCUGCCUUUCUACUUUGUACAUUUGAUAAUUUAUUUUGAUUGAACUGUGUAGGUAGGCAGUCAGAGGAGCUUUAAUUUUACAAUCAAAGAUCAUCUUCAGCUGGGGAAGGAACUUGAUUUGUUUGACUUUGAUGCAGCAGCCGAGGUAUUAAUUGCGACAACUUUCACUAACACUAUAUACAUUUUAUGUUUGGCAACACACUGCAGCAAGUUGUUCAGUAAGAUAUUUCGGAUACACCUAAAAAUUCAAACUGCAUGAUGUCAAGUAAAUAAAAAACUCGACCAUGGAUGACGUCAAUUAAAUAGAUCUAAAAUUCUCUGAAAACUUAUCUAAGUAAAUUUGCCUUGUCUUAGUGAAAGGGUCUGUAGUCUAGUGGCACAAUAACCUUAGUAACCUGGGUGUGACUCCCCUGUGGGAGUGAAUUUAAACAGGCUUGGGUUAGAAAUACCCUUUGUUGGCUGUGUUCCUGAGCUAUAUGUGUAACCAUUUGAGUCGUUUUCAGUGAGAUACAAAAUGGCCACAGACAUGUGUCCUGGGCGCUCAGUGGCAUGUCCAAGGCAGCCGACCUUUGGGGUGUUUUUACACCUAUGUUUGUUCUUAAUGCAAUGCCGUGGGGGUUUCCCUCAUGUAUCGAUUUUUUGCUUUUAAGUUUCUAUAUAAGUAGAUUUGUUAUUUAGUAUUUGUAAUAAAUGUUUGUACUGUGUUGCACAGGUCAGUGGUUCGAAGUUCUACUACUUAAAGAAUGAAGCUGUUUUGUUGGAGAUGGCCCUAGUGAAUUGGGCUAUUUCAGAGGUCUCCAAGAAGGGUUUCACACCACUCAUAACUCCAGAGAUUGUAAGAUCAUCUGUUGUUGAGAAAUGUGGCUUCCAGCCAAGGGCUCAAAACACUCAGGUAUGAACUCUCCUGGUAAGGAUGGUAUUUAACAUUUAGUUAUUUUGUAUCAUAAAAUACAUGAUAAUAGCCAUUUUAACACAUUCUUUGGUCUAGUGACUUGUUUUUAUUCUUACAUUAUGUUUGCAUUAUCAGCUAUUUGGUAUUUUGGAUUAGACCCUGGAAUCACAACAUAGUUUCUGUUUUGGGCAUUGAUGGAGUCGUUGAAACAUAAUGCUAGCCACUAUUUCUAUUUUAAUAUAUGUAUUAAAAAUGACGGUGAAGUUAUAUUAUUAUGAAAAUGAAAUUACCAUUUGAGAUAAAUAUAUUCAUAUAAUCCAAAAAGAUAUCAUACCCAAAUUUUAGAAAAUUUGACCACAUGCGACCCAAAAAUUUCAACCUUGCCUGACUAAAAUAUUUGAUUGCCCGUGAUACGUUGCUGUGGUAUUAUAUGCUGUUCCAUUUAACCAUUUCAGUUCCUUCUAGGUUCCAGAUACAUUUUUAGGUGUUAUUGUUUGACGUGUACUAACAUGAUUGCUUGCACUUUGCUCUGCAGGUCUACUCAAUUGAGGACAGUGAUCAGUGUCUCAUAGGCACUGCUGAAAUUCCUGUUGGAGGCAUCCACAUGGACUCAAUACUUGCUGAAUCUGCUUUGCCUUUAAAAUAUGUAGCAUAUUCACACUGUUUUCGCACGGAAGCUGGUGCAGCAGGUGCUGCCACUAGGUUGGUCUGUUCUCCUUUUACCUUAGGUUACUGUUUUGCUUAUUGAUUUAUGAUGAAGAUUUACCAUUGUACGAGUGUAUAUUUGCUUCUAUUUUUCGGAUGCUUCAAAACUGUGAUAAAAGCAAAUUUUCACAUCCUCUGCAUUGCGAUUAAUUUUACAGUGUGUUUGUUAAGUUGCUAAAUUUAUCAUUUUAUUAUGAACAGGGGCCUCUAUCGGGUACAUCAAUUUAGCAAGGUUGAAAUGUUCAUAUUCUGUCGGCCAGAUGAAAGUGACAAAUUGCAUGAAGAACUUAUUACAAUCGAAGAGGAUCUUUAUGCAUCACUCGGACUCCAUUUCAAGUGCUUCCUAUUCCUUUUAAUUUCUGUGCCAUGCCCAUUUUUGAGACGAAAUUCCAUGCCACAGCUGUACUAAUGCCAGUGCCAACGUUCCCCUUUUAUAGAACUCUGGAUAUGGCAACCGGGGAUCUGGGCGCACCAGCCUACCGAAAAUUUGACAUCGAGGCAUGGAUGCCAGGCCUAGAGCGAUACGGUGAGGUAAGGGGCAAGUUUACCAAGCUUGUAUACGUCUUCUCAACAUUUCCUUGAAUCAUGCUGAUGAUUCCUGAUCAAACUUUGCAGAUCUCCAGUGCAUCAAAUUGUACAGACUACCAAAGUAGGCGACUUGGCAUCCGUUACCGUCCAUCACCCUCGGAGCCUCCGUCAACGAACACCAAGAAAGGGAAGGGAGCUGGCUCAGGCCCUACACAGUUUGUUCACACGCUCAACGCAACAGCAGUGGCGGUGCCUCGUCUGAUAGUCUGCAUUCUAGAGAAUUUUCAGCAGGACGAUGGGUCGAUUGUGGUUCCAGAGCCACUAAGACCCUAUAUGGGUGGACUUGAGGUGAUCUCCCCAAAAUUCGAGUGACCCUCUACAGUCACCCACGGUUGUGCUUGUGGACUUAGAGCUGUCUACAAAUAUACACUACUGAGUUUUGUGAUUGGGGCUCCUGUUUCAUAACUAGUCUUAUCCCCCCCCCCUGUUUUUGAAUAGCACUCUAAUCUGCUGGUGCACAUUAUAUUGGCCAACUACUGUAAUCUGCAUAGCACUACAAACUCAUGUGCAUGAUUUAGCUUUGAGUAAAUUGCACUAUAGGUCCUUAAACUUUCGAUGAACUCCCAUCUAGGUCCUCGAACUAAAAAAGAUAUCAUCUGGGACCUGAAACAAUCUAUCUUUCGCACCAAUGAUCCAAACCAUGCCACGUGCGCGUCGUGAGCUGACGUGGACAUGCCACUAUGAAGACAAGACUCUGGAGACUCGGGCCUGUUGCCCACUUUGCAAGGCUCCAUCUCUCUAUCUCACUCCUAAGCUCUCGUCUCUCCUCCUGUGCGUGCAGGAGGCUGUCAGUUUGGGCUCUGAUGCGGAAGCGUGCUGGCCACCCGCUGCCGUGCUCUACUCGGGCCUACCAGAACACACAAGUGGCAGAGUUUGUGGCCGCAGCUGCUGGCUUCGCAGUGGUGGCUUGAAGUGCUUGUGGUCAAAGUUCGGUAGUAGGGUCACGGCGGUGCUCGCUAGGGAGGCAGCGUUGAGGAGGGCCACAGGGUGCACUGUUGUGCCAAGGAUGAAGGAAGUGUGCUCUCGGACUUGAACAUCGGGAAAGGCAGCAGCAGCUUCAACGCAGAUCCGGCCGACACAGUUCCUCAACAAAUCGACGCGGUAGGGAAGAUUAGGGGGGGGGGGGGGGGGACGACAUGGACGACAAAUCCAUGCUAGAACGGUUUGGGUGCUUUAAAACCAUCCCCGGAGCAGAGCGCUAUGCGAGCCCGUCCUAGCCAUGGUAGGGGCCGACGAGGCGAGGUGCUCUUGCGCGCCAUAGGUGCUGGACAAAGCAUAUGGUAACCAUGACUUUCUUAAAACAAGAUACUAUAGAUGCAAGUACUCAACUUCACGCACAUACAGUCACAUCUAUAUAUCUUACAAACGCCCACCCACGGAACAAAAUGAGAACAUUCAAGAGGUCGGCUGGCACAUCUUGAUAUUGACAAUGUAAUGUGGUAUUAUCUACGUAUUAAUCAAGUAUUUGGAUGUAGUUAUGGUUCAUUUUUUAAUUGAUUAUAUGCAAAGAAGAAAAUUACAAAAUAGACUCAGAUAAACCUCAAUCAAUGUAUUGAUUAUUUUUGGGAAGUUGCACACACUGAUACAAGAACAUUAUUAUCAAGUACAACUCUUCUGUAUUCUAGAAGAUGGCACCUCCAAUGAUGGGUUGCUGCCACAACAAGGAAGGGUUCAUGAAAGACAUCUGGUUGAAUGGCAGCAAUUGUUGUUGCUGUAGGAAGGUGGCCGCCAAUGGGUUAGCCAGUGCCAAUGGGUUAACCUGUAGCAGCUGUUGUUGCUGGUGGUAGGUGGCAGCGGUUGCAACAGCCGACUGAGCAAAUGGAAGUGACUGUGGCUGUUGUAGGUAUGCAGCGGCGUUCGACACAGCUAGUUGGUUGAAUGGAAGUAGCUGUUGCUGUUGAAAGUAGGCGAUAGGGUUCACCACGGACUGUUGUAACUGUUGUUGUUGUUGUAGGUAUGCAAUGGCAUUCACCGCAGCCAGUGGGUUUGUAGGAAGUAGCUGUUGCAGCUGCAAGUAGGUGGCAGGGUUUGGAAUAGCUAGUUGACUGAGCGCUGGUAGGAACUGUUGUUGUUGUAGUUGCGCUACAAUGGUCUGUACUAGUAGGUGAGCCGAGGAUUGCUGUUGCAAUUGGGCAAUUGAUUGUUGUAAGAUGCUCGCCGCGAGCACUUGUUGUAGCCGAUAGGCCUGCACAACUGGGUGUUCAUACCCAACAGCAGUAACUGGUGAGCACUGCGGAAUGAUGAACGCACUUGUAGCACUCACCGUGAGAGCAAGGAGUGCAAGGAGGGCAAAUAUCUUGGCAGCCAUUGUUUCUAAGAUGUUGCUAGUGCGUUUCACUUGGCAACUUUCUAAUUGCUCUCAAUGAUAUGGGUGGUGGAUUAGCUAUCGAUUUGGGCCAAUUUAUACAAGUGAGAGUUCAUGCAUAUCUAUUCAGAUCUCGGAGUUUACUAAAAAAUAGAUGAGCAUGAGAUGACAUGGCACCUAGUCAACUUCGGUGCUUAGUUAUCUAUUUUGUUGGAUUAUAUGGUAUGUGUUGGCAAGAUAGUGUCGAUUAUGUGCUAGGAAAAAGUGCCCUUUUCUAUAGGAGUUCUCUAGAUACACGAGGAAUGGCAUACAUGAUAACUUCACCUUUAUGCAUGACAAAGCCUUAGCCACAUCAUAUUUGUUAGACUUUAUAAACAUGAUGAGUAUGUAAAAUUAUGAUUUGCUCAUGUGAAUCGAAGCCUUUAUCAACAGAGUUUGUUGUAGCAUCGUCCUUAUGGUUGAAGUAUACAAUGUAAUUAUGUGAGAAGUUAUCAACCAGCGAAUGAUCAAUAAUGCUGCAAGGCCACGACUCAUUGAAGUCUCAGUAUGUCUAAAAUGCAUGCGCAUGCAAAGAAUCUAAAAAAUUGGCAUGCGCAUGCUCAUUACUAUCUUGGCCACUACCACAUACUCCCUUUGUUCUGGAGCACAAUUUAGUUUAUUUUUGUGUAAAAGCAAGCUUGUCUAACUUUGAAAAAGUUUUACAUUAGUUUUAACAACAAAAAUGCACUAUCAAGACAUAAUGACAUAUGCAACGAAACAAAGUGAUGUUCAAGGUUUUUGGUAAAUUUCUAUGAAAUAUGUCAAAGUUAGGUAAGAUUACCUUAGGGAAAAGAUAGAGCAAGUAAUAAAUUGGAGCGGAGGAGGUAUAUGUUGAACUCUACCUCUUGACUCAAAUAGAUGUGCAUCUAAUUUUCACUAAAGUCAAACUUAAAUUAUUUCCAUAUAGUAAGGAGAAUGAUAAAUUUGAUGCGGCUUUUGUUCCUUCCACCACCUAUGAUAUGAAUCUGCCUUCAAUAUACAGGUGAAGAGGAUAAUAGCCAACCUCGUAGCUAUUCGAAACAAAUAUCUCUUUGUGCUCAAAGGCAUAGAUCCAUUCAAGAAUAAAAACAACAUGGCCAUUGACAUAAACCUUGCUCAGCUAUGCUACAAAAACUCAAGAUAAAGGAGACUGAGAUGGGUGUUGUGUUGAUUUUUUAGGAGAAACACUAUAACAUCUGGACUUGGAAGUUUCAUGAAAACACACUCCUUCAUAUUCGUUUUCACUAGAACAAUGAGCACAUUGGUACACAUAAUUAAUUCCUUGGAGUUGACUCAAAUAUAUUUUAGAUUUUGUUUCACAUGAGUAGAAUCUCGUCCGAAAGAAUUUGGGGAACAUUGGGAUAAUAACCGUAAUCGCUAGGACUAGACAACAAGUUUAGGCUAAGGAAAUCUAAAAUGGCUGAAGACAUUUAAAAAUAAUAACUUCUAUUGACACAAAAUUAGAGUGAGACCAAUAAAAUCUUCAUGGCUUGAUUUACUAUUCCUUGUUCAUUUAUAAAGGAAUGUAUUUCAUGUUUCUACAAUAAUUUGCUUUAUGGGUGCUCACAUAGAUAUGAUAAGAUAUCUUUUCAACUUUUAUAUGACAUGCGAGUUAAGGUUACAUUGAUGACAGUGUUACAAACUACCUCUAGUAAACUAUCUUGUAGGUAAUAAACUUGUUCAUUUGUUUAGUUUUAACAUUUUAGAACAUGAACGUUUUCACAUUCAACACAUAGAUGCAAACUGCAAUCCAUUGAACUAAUCUAGGUGUCAUAAUGGCACUCUAUGUGGGUUCUCUCUGCAGAACAGCAGAAUGACGGUGGAUGGUUGGUACUUUAAUCUCGGGACAUUACUUUUGGGUUUUGAUAGCUCCACUCUAAAUCAUAUUUUACUAGGUACGGUGUCCAUCAGAAAAGAUCCUAUCUUUCAUAAUGCUACCUAGCAAAAAUGUGAGCUACAAUGUUGAGCAGUCAAUUUGACGUAGGUUUGAUGUCCCUCUGUAAAAUUGUCUCUGGCAUAUUCUUGGGAUAUUAAACUUCACGUUCAUGAUAAUUUUUUUUGGCAUCAAGUAUUAUACUUUGUUGUUAAUUGUUAAUGAUAGGGUCUAGUUGAUUUAAUGCCCUUGGCCUUGUCAAGUUCGUGGGCUCCAAUUAUUUCCUUAUUUUUCUACAAUAUUAUGGAGUCUUGCAUAAUUUUGCUCCAAGAUAAAAACAUAUGCACCAAAUAUUUACUAGAAACAAUAAUUAAGAGGUGUGACUUUGCAUAUCAACUUUGCACGCAUAUAUACGUUUACUCAUGAAUUUCUAUUAUGUUUUCCUUUGUGUACAUGUAUCUGACUUCAAAGAUAUUCGUCAAAGCAUAUGUGGCCAUGACUUUCUUAAAACAAGAUAUUGUAGAUGCAAGUACUCAACUCCACGCAAGUACUCAACUCCACGCAAGUACUCAACUCCACGCACAUACAGUCACAUCUAUAUAUCUCACAAACACCCACACACAGUACCAAAUGAGAAAAUUCAAGGGGGUUGGCUGGCACAUCUUGAUAUUGACAAUGUAAUGUCGUAUUGUCUACGUAUUAAUCAAGCAUUUGGCUGUAAUUAUGGUUCAUUUUUUAAUUGAUUAUAUACAAAGAAGAAAAUUACGGAAUAGACUCAGAUAAAUCUCAAUCAAUGUAUUGAUUAUUUGUGAGAAGUUGCACACGCUGAUACAAGAACAUUGUUAUCAAGUACAACUCUUUUGUAUUCUAGAAGAUGGCACCUCCAACGAUGGGUUGCUGCCACAACAAGGAAGGGUUCUUAAAAGACAUCUGGUUGAAUGGCAGCAAUUGUUGUUGCUGCAGGAAGGCGGCAGCCAAUGGGUUAGCCAGUGCCAAUGGGUUAACCGGUAGCAGCUGCUGUUGCUGGUGGUAGGUGGCAGCGGUUGCAACAGCCGACUGGGCAAAUGGAAGCGGUUGUGGCUGUUGCAGGUAUGCAGCGGUGUUCGGCACAGCUAGUUGGUUGAAUGGAAGUAGCUGUUGCUGUUGUAAGUAGGCGGCAGGGUUUGCCACGACUAGUUGACUGAGCGCUGGCAGGAUCUGUUGUAACUGUUGUUGUUGUGGUAGGUAUGCAAUGGCAUUCGACGCAGCCAAUGGGUUUGUAGGAAGUAGUUGUUGCAGCUGCAAGUAGGCGGUAGGGUUCGGAAUAGCUAGUUGACUGAGCACUGGUAGGAACUGUCGUUGUUGUCGUUGCGCUACAAUGGUCUGUUCUAGUAGGUGAGCCGAGGAUUGCUGUUGCAAUUGGGCAAUUGGUUGUUGUAAGAUGCUCGCCGCGAGCACCUGUUGUAGCCGAUAGGCCUGCACAACUGGGUGUUCAUACCCCGUAGCAGUAAUCGGUGAGCACUGCGGAAUGAUGAACGCAGUUGUAGCACUCACUAAGAGAGCAAGGAGUGCAAGGAGGGCAAAUAUCUUGGCAGCCAUUAUUUGCUAGUGCGUUUCACUUGGCUUGUUUCUGAUUGCUCUCAA
RNAcentral lists this long non-coding RNA (28062 nucleotides) under Sorghum bicolor (sorghum). RNAcentral describes it as "long non-coding RNA (SBIC_LNC009612)". Lineage: Eukaryota; Viridiplantae; Streptophyta; Magnoliopsida; Poales; Poaceae. The record is from RNAcentral.